Molecule: ribosomal RNA, 253 nt
Filed under: uncultured bacterium
Lineage: Bacteria
Description: partial 16S ribosomal RNA
Rfam family: Bacterial small subunit ribosomal RNA
Source: RNAcentral
UACGUAGGGUGCGAGCGUUAAUCGGAAUUACUGGGCGUAAAGCGUGCGCAGGCGGUGGCUCAAGCCAGGCGUGAAAUCCCCGGGCUCAACCCGGGAACUGCGUCCGAUACUGGAAGGCUUGAAUCCGGGAGAGGGAUGCGGAAUUCCAGGUGUAGCGGUGAAAUGCGUAGAUAUCGGGAGGAACACCAAUGGCGAAGGCAGGUCUCUGGGCCGAUACUGACGCUGAGGAGCGAAAGCGUGGGGAGCGAACAGG